GAUGAACGCUGGCGGCGUGCCUAAUACAUGCAAGUCGAGCGAACGGACGAGAAGCUUGCUUCUCUGAUGUUAGCGGCGGACGGGUGAGUAACACGUGGAUAACCUACCUAUAAGACUGGGAUAACUUCGGGAAACCGUAGCUAAUACCGGAUAAUAUUUUUAACCGCAUGGUUCAAAAGUGAAAGACGGUCUUGCUGUCACUUAUAGAUGGAUCCGCGCUGCAUUAGCUAGUUGGUAAGGUAACGGCUUACCAAGGCAACGAUGCAUAGCCGACCUGAGAGGGUGAUCGGCCACACUGGAACUGAGACACGGUCCAGACUCCUACGGGAGGCAGCAGUAGGGAAUCUUCCGCAAUGGGCGAAAGCCUGACGGAGCAACGCCUCGUGAGUGAUGAAGGUCUUCGGAUCGUAAAACUCUGUUAUUAGGGAAGAACAUAUGUGUAAGUAACUGUGCACAUCUUGACGGUACCUAAUCAGAAAGCCACGGCUAACUACGUG
RNAcentral lists this ribosomal RNA (497 nucleotides) under uncultured bacterium. Its description in RNAcentral is "partial 16S ribosomal RNA". It matches the Rfam family "Bacterial small subunit ribosomal RNA", at positions 28 to 507 of the family's 1533-position model. The record is from RNAcentral.